GGGGAUUUAGCUCAGCGGCAUAAGCACCUGCCUUGCAUGCAGGUGGUCAUGACUUUGAUCCCCG
RNAcentral lists this transfer RNA (64 nucleotides) under Cavia porcellus (domestic guinea pig). It matches the Rfam family "tRNA". From Rfam's summary of the family: Transfer RNA (tRNA) molecules are approximately 80 nucleotides in length. Their secondary structure includes four short double-helical elements and three loops (D, anti-codon, and T loops). Further hydrogen bonds mediate the characteristic L-shaped molecular structure. tRNAs have two regions of fundamental functional importance: the anti-codon, which is responsible for specific mRNA codon recognition, and the 3' end, to which the tRNAs corresponding amino acid is attached (by aminoacyl-tRNA synthetases). tRNAs cope with the degeneracy of the genetic code in two manners: having more than one tRNA (with a specific anti-codon) for a particular amino acid; and 'wobble' base-pairing, i.e. permitting non-standard base-pairing at the 3rd anti-codon position. The record is from Rfam by way of RNAcentral. Lineage: Eukaryota; Metazoa; Chordata; Mammalia; Rodentia; Caviidae.